Hypanus sabinus (Atlantic stingray) is the source of this 2096-nucleotide long non-coding RNA. RefSeq lists it as uncharacterized. The record is from RefSeq and is a predicted model, not a curated record. The transcript has 7 exons. NCBI's taxonomy places the organism in Eukaryota, Metazoa, Chordata, Chondrichthyes, Myliobatiformes, Dasyatidae.
UUGAGAGGGGGCUCCCGAGGGUGAGGGACGGUGUCGAGAGGGAGCUCCCGAGGGUGAGGGACGAGUCUGAGGUGGGCAGAGUCCCAAUGGUCAGAGUCCACUGAUGACGGGUCUGUUACAGGAAGGUGUCAGACUGAGAGCGAUGGACUCUCCGUGUCAGAGGCAGAGGCAACGUCUGGUGAGGAGCCACAGGGGAACAUUGAACAACAGAUGGAAACCAGGCUGAGGUGGGACAGGACAGAGUGGAUGGCAGAGGCUAAUGCAUCAUCAUUGGAUCAAUCCAAUCCGAACCAGAAAGUGAACCGAUCCGGAUAGGAACACAAGCCCCAACGCCGGGCAGGAGAAGCCGACGGACACCACGUGCAAAACCUAUGAGAUGAUCCCAGUGAACGGGCUCCUGUUGGAUGAGGAGUGUGAGGAGAUGGUCAGCAGUGUCCACGUGCUGUACCUUGGGCAGAACAACCUGGGAGACCCCCGGGAGCGAGAGGCCUAGCUCGAUCAGAACCUAUCAAAUACCUGGAAGAGGCCUGAACUGCUACAGCACAGGAGGCUAUGGAUCAACAGCAGGUUUUAGAGAUCAUCCUUACUGGUCAUCUGGGUAACACUGAGUGGCUGGACAGCCUUGCAGCACCUGGUUCCUCACUUUCUGCUGGACCUCAGGUGCAGAUGCUCCUCCAAAAAUAAGCAGAAAAACCCUUUGUAGUGUUUAUGCUGAGAAACACUAUGGACUCUUCUUUCAUCUCCCUCUGUAGGAAGGUGUCAGACUGAGAGCGAUGGACUCUCCGUGUCAGAGGCAGAGGCAACGUCUGGUGAGGAGCCACAGGGGAACAUUGAACAACAGAUGGAAACCAGGCUGAGGUGAGAGAUGGAGCUGAGACUGGGAGGGUGAACAUUUCCUCUGGUCUCACUCCCCACUGAGAUAUCACUGCUGUCCCAUCCCUGCCCCUAUUAUCCUGAAUUAAUCUCUACAACACUGUCCACCAUGACCCUCUGCUCGAGAAUUACCUCCCGAGACCCCUCCACCACUGAGUGUAUGUCCCUCAUGAUUGUCUACACCUCUAUAAGAUGACCACUCAUUCUCCUACACUCCAAUGGGGACAAAACAAAAAGUCCCAACCUGCUCACCCUCUGUCCAUAACUCAGUCCCACGAGUCCUGGCAACAUCCUGGUAAAUCUCCUCUGCACUCCGUCCAGCUUCAUGAUAUUGUUCCUGUCGCAGUGUGACUAAACCUGAGCAUAGUGUUCCAAAUCUGGCCUCACCAACAUCUCGUACAAUGUCAGAACAUAGAAAUAGGAGCAGGAGAGGACUCACAGACACGAGACAAUCUGCAGAUGCUGGAAAUCCAAAGCAACACACACAAAAUGCUGGAGGAACUCAGCAGGUCAGGCAGCAUCUGUGGAAAAGAGUAAACAGUCGACGUUUCAGGCUGAGACCCUUCAUCAGGACAGAAGGGAAAGAAGAGAAGUCCGAUUAAGAAGGUGGGGGGAGUGGAGGAGGAAGUACAAGGUGGUGGGUGAUACGUGAAACCGGGAGAGGGGGAGGAGGUGAAGUAAAGAACGGGGAAGUUUGAUGGAAGAGAUAAAGGGCUGGAGAAGGGGGAUCUGAUCGAGGGCAGAAGACCAUGGGAGAAAGGGAAGGGUAGGAGCACCUGAGGCAGGUGAUGGGAGGGUAAGGAGGUAAGUUGAAAGAGGGAAAAGGGAAUGGGGAAUUGUGAAGGGGAUUGGGGCAAUUACCAGAAGCUCAAGAAAUCGAUGUGUAUGCCAACUGCUUGGCUGCUCCCAGACAGAAUAUAAAGUGUUGCUCCUCCAACCUGAAUGUGGUCUCAUCACGACAGUAGAGGCCAUGGACUGACAUGUCGGAAUGGGAAUGGGAAGCAGAAUUGAAAUGGGUGGUCACUGGGAAAUCCUGCUUUUUCUGGCAGAUGGAUCGUAGGUGCUCGGUGAAGCGGUCUCCCAAUUUUCAUCGGGUCUCUCUGAUAUACAGGAGGCCACACCAGGAGCACCGGAUACAGUAGAUGCCCCAACAGACUCACAGGUGAAGUGUCAGCUCACCUGGAAGGACUGUUUGGGGCCCUGAAUGGUGGUGAGGGAGGAGG